GAUUGAACGCUGGCGGUAUGCUUAACACAUGCAAGUCGAACGGAAACGAUGGGAGCUUGCUCCCAGGCGUCGAGUGGCGGACGGGUGCGUAACGCGUAGGAAUUUACCUUAUAGUCGGGGACAACCUGAGGAAACUCAGGCUAAUACCGGAUAAUCCUUACUAGGGAAAGGGGGCCUCUUCUUGAAAGCUCUCGCUAUUAGAUGAGCCUGCGUCAGAUUAGCUUGUUGGUAGGGUAAAAGCCUACCAAGGCGACGAUCUUUAGCUGGUCUGAGAGGAUGAUCAGCCACAUCGGGACUGAGACACGGCCCGAACUCCUACGGGAGGCAGCAGUGGGGAAUAUUGGACAAUGGGGGCAACCCUGAUCCAGCAAUACCGCGUGUGUGAAGAAGGCCUGAGGGUUGUAAAGCACUUUCAAUUGUGAAGAAAAGUUAGCGGUUAAUAACCGUUAGCCUUGACGUUAACUUUAGAAGAAGCACCGGCUAACUCCGUGCCAGCAGCCGCGGUAAUACGGAGGGUGCAAGCGUUAAUCGGAAUUACUGGGCGUAAAGCGUGCGUAGGCGGUUUAUUAAGUCAGAUGUGAAAGCCCCGGGCUUAACCUGGGAACUGCAUUUGAAACUGGUCAACUAGAGUAUGGUAGAGGAAAGUGGAAUUUCUGGUGUAGCGGUGAAAUGCGUAGAUAUCAGAAGGAACAUCAAUGGCGAAGGCAGCUUUCUGGACCAAUACUGACGCUGAGGUACGAAAGCGUGGGUAGCAAACAGGAUUAGAUACCCUGGUAGUCCACGCCGUAAACGAUGAUAACUAGCCGUUGGGGGGAUUUACCCUUUAGUGGCGAAGCUAACGCGUUAAGUUAUCCGCCUGGGGAGUACGGCCGCAAGGUUAAAACUCAAAGGAAUUGACGGGGACCCGCACAAGCGGUGGAGCAUGUGGUUUAAUUCGAUGCAACGCGAAGAACCUUACCUGGUCUUGACAUCCUGCGAACUUUCUAGAAAUAGAUUGGUGCCUUCGGGAACGCAGUGACAGGUGCUGCAUGGCUGUCGUCAGCUCGUGUCGUGGGAUGUUGGGUUAAGUCCCGUAACGAGCGCAACCCCUAUCCUUAUUUGCCAGCACAUCAUGGUGGGAACUAUAAGGAGACUGCCGGUGAUAAACCGGAGGAAGGCGGGGACGACGUCAAGUCAUCAUGGCCCUUACGACCAGGGCUACACACGUGCUACAAUGGGAAGGACAAAGAGCCGCGAAGCCGCGAGGUGUAGCUAAUCUCAUAAACCUUUUCGUAGUCCGGAUUGGAGUCUGCAACUCGACUCCAUGAAGUCGGAAUCGCUAGUAAUCGUAGAUCAGAAUGCUACGGUGAAUACGUUCCCGGGUCUUGUACACACCGCC
RNAcentral lists this ribosomal RNA (1378 nucleotides) under uncultured Gammaproteobacteria bacterium. Its description in RNAcentral is "uncultured gamma proteobacterium 16S ribosomal RNA". It matches the Rfam family "Bacterial small subunit ribosomal RNA", at positions 27 to 1394 of the family's 1533-position model. The record is from RNAcentral. Lineage: Bacteria; Pseudomonadati; Pseudomonadota; Gammaproteobacteria.